AACUUUCAGCAAUGGAUCACUUGGCUCUCGCAUCGAUGAGGAACGCAGCGAAAUGCGAUAAGUAAUGUUAAUUGCAGAUUUUCAGUGAAUCAUCGAAUCUUUGAACGCACCUUGCGCCCCUUGGUAUUCCGAGGGGCAUGCCUGUUUGAGUGUGAUUAAAUUCUCAACUCCGAUUUGAUUUGUUUCUAAUCGGAGCUUGGACUUGGAGUGUGCUGGCGUCUAGUCGGCUCCUCUCAAAUGCCUCAGCGGAAUCUAACCUUUGGUUUCCGGACGUCGGUGUGAUAAUAAAGUUGCGCCGUCGCUUGACUUCAAAGUCCGCUUAUAAUGGUCUUCGGACAAACUCUUAUAUAAAAUUUGACCUCAAAUCAGGUAGGACUACCCGCUGAACUUAAGCAUAUCAAUAAGCGGAGGCU
RNAcentral lists this unclassified non-coding RNA (413 nucleotides) under uncultured Piloderma. RNAcentral describes it as "sequence contains ITS2". The stretch from base 1 to 155 matches the Rfam family "5.8S ribosomal RNA". The record is from RNAcentral. Lineage: Eukaryota; Fungi; Basidiomycota; Agaricomycetes; Atheliales; Atheliaceae.